GAGAGAGAGAGAGAGAGACAGAGGGAGAGGGAGGGAGAGCCACCUACAAAGACUCCGAGAGUGAGCAUUUGGAGAGUUCUUCAUAGAAGUCUGCUUCUUGAUGUGCCUUCCUGUGAUUGAGGGAAAGAGAAACCAAUGGCGGGUUCGACGUCUGUGCAGCCACAGUUCAUUGUCAGCACUGGGAAUCGGAGCUUUUCCAAUGCACCCCUCAUUGACAAUUCAGAUACUGAUCAAAUUGUUGUUCCUAACAAGAAAAGCUGGAAGAACCUGUUUGCAUAUAUGGGUCCAGGGUUCCUUGUUUCUAUUGCAUAUAUUGACCCUGGAAAUUUUGAAACUGACCUGCAGUCAGGAGCAGAAUACAAGUAUGAGUUACUUUGGAUCAUAUUAGUGGCCUCAUGUGCUGCUCUUAUUAUACAAUCUCUAGCAGCCAAUUUGGGGGUUGUCACUGGAAAGCAUUUAGCAGAACAUUGUAAGAAUGAAUAUCCUCGGGUGCCAAACUUCAUCCUUUGGAUUCUUGCUGAAAUUGCUAUUGUUGCAUGUGAUAUUCCUGAAGGUAAGUUUUGUUAAUUUGCUUAAUUUUUUUUAUUCAUAUACAUGUAUAAUCAAUAUAUUGCUACGAGCUUAAAAAUUGCAUUUUGAUAUUUCAAAAAUAAUAUUUCCACAUGCAUGUACUUUUGAGCAUCUUUAUAUGUAUAAUCAAAAUUUUAAGAUAUGGCCAAAAUAGCGAUGCAUUCUCUUAUAUAACAUGUUUCUUGUCCACUAAUUUUUGUCCUAGGAUGUUUGUUCUUCACCGUACUCUGAAUGACGUUCCUUUCUUUUUCAGUAAUUGGUACAGCCUUUGCAUUGAACAUGCUUUUCAAAAUUUCUGUGUGGAUUGGUGUUCUUCUAACUGGGCUUAGCACGUUGGUUCUUCUAGCACUACAGCAAUAUGGGGUCCGGAAGCUUGAAUUCCUUAUUGCUUUUCUUGUUUCGACAAUCGCUGCAUGCUUUUUGGUGGAGCUUGCCUUUGCAAAACCCUCUGCUUCUGAAGUUCUCUAUGGGCUUUUUGUUCCACAACUCAAGGGACAUGGUGCUACUGGCCUUGCAAUUUCACUGCUUGGUGCCAUGGUUAUGCCGUAAGUUUUUUAUUCAAUUAUGUCUUCCAACUAUUAAUAGUUCCUUCCUGUUGAAAAAAAAAAACAUUUUUGUCUUCGUUGGCUUCAUUGCCCUCAUGCAGUCACAAUCUCUUCCUUCAUUCGGCAUUGGUGCUUUCUAGGAAAAUCCCACGAUCCAUUCCUGGUAUCAAGGAGGCUCGUAGAUUUUACUUGAUAGAAAGUGCCUUCGCUCUCACACUGGCCUUUUUCAUUAAUGUAUCUGUUAUUUCUGUAAGUGGUGCUGUUUGCAAUUCCCCAAAUUUAAAUCCAGAAGAUCAGUCAAAAUGCAAGGACUUGGACUUGAACGAGGCUUCUUUUUUGCUUAAAAAUGUUUUGGGUAGAUGGAGUUCAAAACUUUUUGCAAUUGCUUUGUUGGCAUCUGGUCAGAGUUCUACAAUAACAGGAACUUAUGCAGGGCAGUAUGUCAUGCAGGGUUUCUUGGAUCUACGAUUGACACCAUGGAUACGGAACUUUCUAACUCGAUGCUUGGCAAUAGUCCCUAGUUUAAUUGUUGCACUCAUUGGUGGCUCUGCUGGUGCUGGAAAGCUAAUUAUUAUUGCAUCUAUGAUUCUAUCAUUUGAGCUACCUUUUGCUCUCAUUCCACUUCUCAAGUUCACUAGCUGCAAAACCAAGAUGGGGAUACACGCCAACUCAACUAUGGUAUAAUGUUAUUUUGAUAUAUGCUUCUUCACUUAUUCAUUUAUACAAUUUAUUUAACCAUUAAAUUUGGAGACUUUGAUUUGUCUUGAAAAUUUCUCGCCUGACUACUUGGAAGGGUCCUUGUAUCCUGCAAAAAAUCCUGUUAAGAAUAGUAAUGAAGUAUUUGACAUUUCCAUGGAGACAGACAGCUGUAAAAUGCCUGGCUUGAAAUAUGUUGUGUUUGUUUGGAAACUUUUUAUAGAAGUUCUUGCUGUUUCUUUUUCUUUCUUGUCUUCACCUUCUUUCCCUUGAUGUUAUUUCCUGAUUUUUCUUUUCCUUUGAAAUGUUGGACUUGUCAGUCCAGUAUUUUUCAACAGUAACAAAUGCAUAUAAAGAUUUCUUGACAGUGCUUCAAUGACCAAAAUUGGAUAGAUUGCUGUUAAAAUGUUUUUUUCAAGCAUUCUGGAGAUUGUUACUGCAACAUAUAUCAUUAUCUUUCAACUGUUAUUUCUGCUCCUUAACUUUUCAUUAUCACUGGUUUAUCAUUUUUCUUCUUUUACAGAUUUCAGCUCUCACUUGGAUUAUUGGUUCCCUGGUCAUAUCAAUAAAUAUAUACUACCUUGCAACUGGCUUCAUCAAGAUUCUUCUUAAUGGCCAUUUAGAAGUGGUAGCUGUUGUUUUUCUUGGAAUAUUCGGAUUUUCAGCUAUGGCUGUGUAUUUGGCUGCAAUUGCUUACUUGGUGUUCCGUAAAAACAAGGAAGCUACUCAUCUUCUGGCACUAACAACACCUGAAAGUCGACAGAUGGCCAACGAGUCUUGUGAUACAUCAAUGCAUUGUCUCCCUAGAGAAGACAUAGUAAGCAUGCAGUUACCUCAAAGAAGGUCUACAGAAGAAGUCAAUUGAUAAGUGGCAGGGUAAGAGUGAUUUCCACUGAUAAAUGGUAGGGUUAGUGAGAGUUCAAUAAGUGAGCUUGGGAGCCUUUAUGUAAUUGGGCCUGAGAGCCUUGAUUUGUUUUUGGGCUUCAAGCCCUGUAUUAAUAAAAUCCUACCAUCUUGCGAAAAAAAACUCUUGUAUAGGUAACUUACGGAGUUUUUGGCUCUAUAGGAGAGUAUCAGCCGAAACUUCUUGGAGCAGAAAAAGUGCUGCUCUCUAAGGUGGAUUUUCCAUGCUAGCAAAGGAAGAAGAAUCUCUUCUUUUGGGUGGUCCAAAACAAGGUGCAAUCUUUGUCCAACUUGGUGUAUUCCUUUGGGAUUUUCUUUCUUAACAUCAUGUGAAGAUUCACUACAAUCCUGGACCGUCAAUUAAUAUAUAUAAUUCCUAUAACACGUGAUUAUGUAUGGAAUUAGAAUACAAGGUUGAUCUUGAAUUAAAUAUGUAUGUAAUACAUGGUUAUAGCCAUUAUUAAUUUCAGACUUUUCUUGACUAAACUCGAUUCACCACAAGUCCAAGACAAAAAAUAUAUGGUAGAGCUCAUCUAUUAAUACAUGGAUGCUACAUGAUUGUAUUUUAAAUUUAUGAUAAAUUAAGUUUAGGCAAAAAUUUUCAAUUAAUUCCUACACAAAAGUGUUAACACGGAUCUUAAACUACACCAAUUAUUAAGAGUCUUGGCUGCAGCAGAAUUGCUCAUCUUAACAACAUCUGUAAGAUAAGUUACCAAAUUCGAUGCCACCCCUUUGAAGGCAAACCUCUCUAUUCCAGCUAUCACUAUGAGCAGAAAGCAAGACUUGUUGAGUCCUUUUGUUCUCUGACCUCCAGCCAUGAGAAAGACACCAAAUGAGUAAACUAUGGGGAAAAUAUAGAACAACCCAUAUAUCAAAAGCCUGAAGACAAGCCAAAAACCAGCAAUAAUUAUCACAUUCUGUUGCUACCUACUCAGAAUUUCAUGUAACAGUGUCACAACUUCAAUUAUAUUUGGAUGCUUCUUUUUUUUUUAAGUUUAAG
This 3714-nucleotide unclassified non-coding RNA is filed under the name Hevea brasiliensis (rubber tree). Lineage: Eukaryota; Viridiplantae; Streptophyta; Magnoliopsida; Malpighiales; Euphorbiaceae. The record is from RNAcentral.